RNAcentral lists this ribosomal RNA (431 nucleotides) under uncultured bacterium. RNAcentral describes it as "partial 16S ribosomal RNA". It matches the Rfam family "Bacterial small subunit ribosomal RNA", at positions 30 to 507 of the family's 1533-position model. The record is from RNAcentral.
CGAACGCUGGCGGCAUGCCUAACACAUGCAAGUCGAACGAACCCUUCGGGGUUAGUGGCGCACGGGUGCGUAACGCGUGGGAAUCUGCCCUUUGCUUCGGAAUAACUCAGGGAAACUUGUGCUAAUACCGGAUGAUGUCUUCGGACCAAAGAUUUAUCGGCAAGGGAUGAGCCCGCGUAGGAUUAGGUAGUUGGUGGGGUAAAGGCCUACCAAGCCGACGAUCCUUAGCUGGUCUGAGAGGAUGAUCAGCCACACUGGGACUGAGACACGGCCCAGACCCCUACGGGAGGCAGCAGUGGGGAAUAUUGGACAAUGGGCGCAAGCCUGAUCCAGCAAUGCCGCGUGAGUGAUGAAGGCCCUCGGGUCGUAAAGCUCUUUUACCAGGGAUGAUAAUGACAGUACCUGGAGAAUAAGCGCCGGCUAACUCCGUG